RNAcentral lists this ribosomal RNA (865 nucleotides) under uncultured bacterium. RNAcentral describes it as "bacterial SSU rRNA". It matches the Rfam family "Bacterial small subunit ribosomal RNA", at positions 631 to 1504 of the family's 1533-position model. The record is from RNAcentral.
UACUGUUAGACUUGAGUUAUUGUGAAGUAGUUAGAAUGUGUGGUGUAGCGGUGAAAUGCAUAGAUAUCACACAGAAUACCGAUUGCGAAGGCAGAUUACUAACAAUAUACUGACGCUGAGGGACGAAAGCGUGGGUAGCGAACAGGAUUAGAUACCCUGGUAGUCCACGCCGUAAACGAUGGAUACUAGCUGUUCGAUCAACAUUGGUUGGUUGAGUGGCUAAGCGAAAGUGAUAAGUAUCCCACCUGGGGAGUACGCUCGCAAGAGUGAGACUCAAAGGAAUUGACGGGGGCCCGCACAAGCGGUGGAGCAUGUGGUUUAAUUCGAUGGUACGCGAGGAACCUUACCAGGGCUUAAAUGUAAGUUGCAUAGAUCAGAGAUGGUCUUUUCUUCGGACUACUUACAAGGUGCUGCAUGGUUGUCGUCAGCUCGUGCCGUGAGGUGUCAGGUUAAGUCCUAUAACGAGCGCAACCCCUGUCGUUAGUUACCAGCAAGUAAUGUUGGGUACUCUAGCGAGACUGCCGGUGCAAACCGCGAGGAAGGUGGGGAUGACGUCAAAUCAUCACGGCCCUUACGUCCUGGGCUACACACGUGCUACAAUGGCCGGUACAGAGAGCAGCCACUACGCGAGUAGGAGCGAAUCUUCAAAGCCGGUCUCAGUUCGGAUCGCAGUCUGCAACUCGACUGCGUGAAGCUGGAAUCGCUAGUAAUCGGAUAUCAGCCAUGAUCCGGUGAAUACGUUCCCGGGCCUUGUACACACCGCCCGUCAAGCCAUGGAAGCUGGGGGUACCUGAAGUCGGUGACCGAAAGGAGCUGCCUAGGGUAAAACUAGUAACUGGGGCUAAGUCGUAACAAGGUAGCCGUA